UCUCUCUCUCUCUCUCUCUGUGUACCCCUGGAAGCUCCACUGCGUCUUUCUUCGAUGCACACACAUGUAGAGCGUGUGUUUGGAUUUGGCUUUUUAGAUCUCUACCUCAUUUUGUGGAUCUGCAGCCCCACAUACGCGCAUUGCCCUUCUUUUCUCUCUCCUAGGGUUUGCGGCUUUACCCACUCCUGCUACUCUCUUUCGCUGUUUUACUCUUAGCUAUGCAAUCUCUCAAUGUGACUCCAAAAUGCCAUGGAGUGGCUAGCCGGAACUUUAGCAACUUUUGGUGCAUCUCUGAUCAGGCUGCUGUUCUGCUUCGAGGUCGUCUUGGUUUCUGACAAUGGUCUUUGUGGAUUCUGGUUUGGCUUGAGAGAUGAUGCCAUUCUUCACACUGCUGCUCCUCCUUGGCUUGCUUACCUUCGAUUUUACUUGUUUAGGUAUCACUUUAAUUUCCUGCAUUUCUAGGAAACAAGUGCUUUGAAGCUUUUUCCGAGGUUAAUCUUAGACUGUUAUCUUGAUGCAAUUGCUAUUUAGCUUAUUGUGUCUUUUGCCUAAGCAUCUGCUGAUUCUGCGCCUGCAAAAAACUUAGAUUGGAGUUAUUACGCAAUAAGUUAGUUGCGCAAUUUUGUUUUGUCAUUCAACUAUCUUCAAUUGAAGGAAUGCCCUUGAAAUUCCUACUUAUACCCACCAUUGAUUGCUUGUUUGCCCCCAUUGUGAGUUGUGGAGGAUUGUCUUAGCAAUCUUGGGAAGACAUGGUAGAGCAAUCUAUUAAUUGCGCAUUCAUAUUUCUGCUUAUUCAGAUUAAAAUGAUUUUGCUGAUUUUAAAUGAUGAGUUAACUUGAUACAUACAGAGGUGGAACAUAAUAUAAAACACGUAAGAAAAGGCACAAUGGGUAAUGUUAAAUUGUUAAUUGCCCCUGAACUGAAGGAAACUAACAAAUUGAUGGCUUAAAUUUGGAAUUAGAUGAGGUAGGCAGUAGGCUCGUCUUUUUACACUUUAAGUUAAUAAAUGUAUUAGUCCUUCCAAUGAGCAACUAGCACCAUCUGUUUCACAUGGCCAAUGUGUAUCGGGUAGCUGUUAUGAUUUUGUAGGAUAAGUCAGUAGCUGUAAUGAGUUCCCAUAUUUCUAUGUCAAAGUUUUAAUUACAACUGGUUUUGUCUAAGCUUGGACUUUUGUCCAAAAUACUAUGCACCUUGAAUGUAAAUUAGACGAAUGGUGAUCAGGUAUUACUUGGAGAAAACAUUUCAGCUGCUUGAGCAGUUUUGCUCCAAACGGGGAAAAAGUUCUAUUUUUGUAGGAUUUCAGUAGAAAAUGAAAUUGUGGAAAAAAAUGAAAUUGCAGCUGCCAAUUACAUUCUUAAAGUACACUAAUGAUAUCACUUGUAUUUUUGUUUUAAUUUUUGUAUUUUUCCCCAAUUCGAUAAAUAAUCGAAACUGAUUUCCUCUACUAACUUUUUGAAGUUUCUUAUUUUGCAUUCGUCAUAUGCAUAUCUAUGCAUGACUAGAUAAGUUCAUGAUGCUGUACAUAUCAUUACCUCUAUCAUUUUUCAUAUAUGAUGCCGUGAAAUUUUCAUCACAAGGUUCAUGUGCUUCAUUGGGAAAAACUGACAGUUUAGUUCACAUUUUUUAGGGCAUCCGCUACUGCAUAUACACUUGUCUCCUUCUUCUCAGCCAAAUUGGCAAUUAUCUGUGAAGGAAAAUUUGGUGGAACAUGCAAGGUUGGUUUCAAUAAGUGUGCCAUUUGGUAAAUCACAGCCACCUCCAAUGCACAUGGUUAAGCCUUCUCUUGCACCUGCACUUUCUCCAGUUUAUCAGGCAUCUGCUUUUGGUCCCAGCAAUGCUCCCUUGCCAAGACACCAUCGUCUCCAUCGUCAUCAUCAUCACCGUGUGAAACCUGUUGUGGUUGCUUCCUCCCCUUCCGAAGACCAAAGUUGUGGUCAAGUUUGCAGUGAGCCACUUACGGCAGCUCCCUUUGGCUCACCCUGUGCUUGUGUUUUUCCUAUGAAAGUCAGACUUCUUUUAGGCAUGGCUCCUUAUGCUAUUUUUCCUGUAAUGAAUCAGCUAGAAAUUGAAGUUGCAGCAGGCACAUAUUUGAAGCAAAGUCAAGUGAAAAUAAUGGGGGCCAGUGCUGAUAGUCAAAAUCAGGGAAAAACUGUUGUGGAUAUUAACUUGGUUCCAUUGGGAGAUAAGUUUGAUAAUACUACUGCAAUACUGACAUACGAUAGAUUUUGGCAUAAGAAGGUACCUCUAAAUAACACUCUUUUUGGUGAUUAUGAAGUUAUAUCAAUUAGCUAUCCAGGUAAUAACCUCAUUUAUCCCUGAAGUCUUUACUGCUUUACCAUUGUAUUACUGUGCAAUGGUCAUGACUAGAGAGUAUGCACCAGGGAUUCCUUCUUCACCACCAUACUCAGAUUACAUGGGGAGUGGUCCUAGUGGAACUGCUGGAGAUCUUCCCAUCACUGCACAUUUUGUGAGCAAGAGCCAGAAGAUGAAUGCUAGAACCAUCGCAAUCGUUGCUUUAUCCGCAUUUGUGGUCUUACUGGUUUUCAUUGGGGCUGUCUUCAUUUUCCUAAGAUGGAGAAAGUUUGGAAGACCAUCAAGUGCAGUUGGUCCUACAAUUGCAUCAUCCAUAAACAAAAGAUCUGGUAUGUCAAUUUUUAUGUUCUUAUAUAGUAUUUUGCAUGUACAUGUUAUGGAGGAGUGCCAUGCAAUGUUUUUGCUCCUCAUGGCAGCCUUUUUAUGUAUAUCCUUUUAGGACCAAAGUACUUCCUGCUAAUUUGUUUGGCUCAAUCAUCCACAAUAGAAAUUUUUUUCUGAACAUCUUUUUUAUCAUCACUAAUAUGAACUUGAAUUUAGUGAAUUAAUGUCAGAAGGUUGCUUUAACACCUAUUAGGCCAGUGGUAUAAGAUAAUAAUAAUUAUUAGAUUGCUUCCAUCUCUUGAUUUGUUCACAUUGAUAGCUUUUUUUGUUUUGUUUUGUUGAGCAUUGGAGCUUCUUUUGUAGUCUCUAAUAAAGAAAGCAGUUGGGAAAGUUUACAGAAACAUGUGGUACCGUAAUCUUUAUUUCACAGAGGACCCUUUUGGAAUGGUACACAAUAUUAUUUCUAGUAGUCGUGCUUUGUUGGGUUUAGUUUGUAUGAUAUAGGGAGCUUUAUGCUGGUCGAUUGAUGAUGUUCUCUAGACAAGUAUAAUCAAAUGAAACAAAUCAUAUGCCAAGUUUGUUAUAUUUUAGAUCUUCACUUGUUAAUGCAGGCAUUGGGUCUCUCAUGUCGACUAGUAUUGCAAGCUCAACAUCAAUGUCCCUUGUGUCAACCAUGGCUACUUGCAUGCUUUCUGUUAAAACAUUUCCAUACACUGAGCUUGAGAAAGCAACUGAGAAGUUCAGUUCGAAGAGGAUU
This 3394-nucleotide unclassified non-coding RNA is filed under the name Hevea brasiliensis (rubber tree). The record is from RNAcentral. Lineage: Eukaryota; Viridiplantae; Streptophyta; Magnoliopsida; Malpighiales; Euphorbiaceae.